CCUACGGGAGGCAGCAGUAGGGAAUAUUGCACAAUGGGGGAAACCCUGAAGCAGCAACGCCGCGUGGAGGAUGAAGGUUUUCGGAUUGUAAACUGCUUUUGUAAGAGAAGAAAAUGACGGUAACUCACGAAUAAGCACCGGCUAACUCCGUGCCAGCAGCCGCGGUAAUACGGAGGGUACAAGCGUUAGUCGGAAUCACUGGGCGUAAAGAGUUCGCAGGCGGGUUUGUAAUACAGAUGGGAAAUCCGGUAGUUUAACUACAGAACUGCAUUUGAAACUAGGAGUCUAGAGUGUGGGAGGGGUAGGUGGAAUUCUUGGUGUAGGGGUAAAAUCCGUAGAUA
Molecule: ribosomal RNA, 341 nt
Filed under: uncultured bacterium
Lineage: Bacteria
Description: partial 16S ribosomal RNA
Rfam family: Bacterial small subunit ribosomal RNA
Source: RNAcentral